This 478-nucleotide ribosomal RNA is filed under the name uncultured bacterium. RNAcentral's name for it is "partial 16S ribosomal RNA". It matches the Rfam family "Bacterial small subunit ribosomal RNA", at positions 28 to 523 of the family's 1533-position model. The record is from RNAcentral.
GUCGAACGCUGGCGGCGUGCUUAACACAUGCAAGUCGAACGGUAAGGCCCUUCGGGGUACACGAGUGGCGAACGGGUGAGUAACACGUGGGUGAUCUGCCCUGCACUUCGGGAUAAGCCUGGGAAACUGGGUCUAAUACCGGAUAGGACCACUGCCUGCAUGGGUGGUGGUGGAAAGCUUUUGCGGUGUGGGAUGGGCCCGCGGCCUAUGAGCUUGUUGGUGGGGUGAUGGCCUACCAAGGCGACGACGGGUAGCCGGCCUGAGAGGGUGACCGGCCACACUGGGACUGAGAUACGGCCCAGACUCCUACGGGAGGCAGCAGUGGGGAAUAUUGCACAAUGGGCGCAAGCCUGAUGCAGCGACGCCGCGUGAGGGAUGACGGCCUUCGGGUUGUAAACCUCUUUCAGCACCGACGAGGCGCAAGUGACGGUAGGUGCAGAAGAAGGACCGGCCAACUACGUGCCAGCCGCCGCGGUAA